GGUUACCUGCCCUGUUGGUGACAGAUGAAAAAGUUGAUCCGGCAAAUUAGAUCUUUAGGGAGUCUGAGUAAGGAGGACGGUGUGCAUGUCUCAUUAAUACUGAGAAAGCCUAAAGUUCCCUUCAAGACACCCACCUAUUUUAAGGGCGGAUCUGAUUAUUCAUUUGCACGGCAGGGUGGGUUAAUU
Nitrospirae bacterium GWF2_44_13 is the source of this 186-nucleotide non-coding RNA. Lineage: Bacteria; Pseudomonadati; Nitrospirota. The record is from Rfam.